Molecule: transfer RNA, 76 nt
Filed under: Dorea longicatena
Lineage: Bacteria; Bacillati; Bacillota; Clostridia; Lachnospirales; Lachnospiraceae
Also listed under: 2 other names
Description: tRNA-Met
Rfam family: tRNA
About the family: Transfer RNA (tRNA) molecules are approximately 80 nucleotides in length. Their secondary structure includes four short double-helical elements and three loops (D, anti-codon, and T loops).
Source: RNAcentral
UGGCGGGAUAGCUCAGUUGGCUAGAGCACACGGUUCAUACCCGUGGUGUCGCUGGUUCAAAUCCAGUUCCCGCUAU